CAACAGGGAUUGCCCUAGUAACGGCGAGUGAAGCGGCAACAGCUCAAAUUUGAAAUCUGGCCUCGGCCCGAGUUGUAAUUUGCAGAGGAUGUUUCUGGCGCGGUGCCUUCCGAGUUCCCUGGAACGGGACGCCACAGAGGGUGAGAGCCCCGUAUGGUUGGACACCAAGCCUGUGUGAAACUCCUUCGACGAGUCGAGUAGUUUGGGAAUGCUGCUCUAAAUGGGAGGUAAAUCUCUUCUAAAGCUAAAUACCGGCCAGAGACCGAUAGCGCACAAGUAGAGUGAUCGAAAGAUGAAAAGCACCUUGAAAAGGGGGUUAAACAGUACGUGAAAUUGUUGAAAGGGAAGCGCUCAUGACCAGACUUGUGCCGGGCGGUUCAUCCGGGGUUCUCCCCGGUGCACUCCGCCCGGCUCAGGCCAGCAUCGGUUCUCGUUGGGGGAUAAGAACGGUAGGAACGUGGCCCUCCCUCGGGAGGGUGUUAUAGCCCGCCGUACGAUACCCUGACGGGGACCGAGGUUCGCGCUCCGCAAGGAUGCUGGCGUAAUGGUCAUCAGCGACCCGUCUUGAAACACGGACCAAGGAGUCGUCCAUUAGAGCGAGCGUUUGGGUGUAAAACCCGCACGCGUAAUGAAAGUGAAAUUAGGUGAGAGCUUCGGCGCAUCAUCGACCGAUCCUGAUGUUCUCGGAUGGAUUUGAGUAAGAGUUUUAACGGACGGACCCGAAAGACAGUGAACUAUGCUUGUAUAGGGUGAAGCCAGAGGAAACUCUGGUGGAGGCUCGCAGCGGUUCUGACGUGCAAAUCGAUCGUCAAAUAUGAGCA
Molecule: ribosomal RNA, 821 nt
Filed under: Harknessia globispora
Lineage: Eukaryota; Fungi; Ascomycota; Sordariomycetes; Diaporthales; Harknessiaceae
Description: eukaryotic LSU rRNA
Rfam family: Eukaryotic large subunit ribosomal RNA
Source: RNAcentral